CCAGCACCCCGAGUGGUCGGGACGUUUAUUGGGCCUAAAGCAUCCGUAGCCGGUUCUGCAAGUCUUCCGUUAAAUCCACCUGCUUAACAGAUGGGCCGCGGAAGAUACUAUAGAGCUAGGAGGCGGGAGAGGCAAGCGGUACUCGAUGGGUAGGGGUAAAAUCCGUUGAUCCAUUGAAGACCACCAGUGGCGAAGGCGGCUUGCCAGAACGCGCUCGACGGUGAGGGAUGAAAGCUGGGGGAGCAAACCGGAUUAGAUACCCGGGUAGUCCCAGCUGUAAACGAUGCAGACUCGGUGAUGAAUUGGCUUCAUGCCAAUUCAGUGCCGCAGGGAAGCCGUUAAGUUUGCCGCCUGGGGAGUACGGUCGCAAGACUG
RNAcentral lists this ribosomal RNA (375 nucleotides) under uncultured organism. Its description in RNAcentral is "bacterial SSU rRNA". It matches the Rfam family "Archaeal small subunit ribosomal RNA", at positions 476 to 851 of the family's 1478-position model. The record is from RNAcentral.